GGUGGCUCAAUGGUAGAGCUCUUGCCUUGCAUGCAUGAGGCCCUGGGUUCGAUUCCUUAGCACCA
RNAcentral lists this transfer RNA (65 nucleotides) under Dipodomys ordii (Ord's kangaroo rat). It matches the Rfam family "tRNA". From Rfam's summary of the family: Transfer RNA (tRNA) molecules are approximately 80 nucleotides in length. Their secondary structure includes four short double-helical elements and three loops (D, anti-codon, and T loops). Further hydrogen bonds mediate the characteristic L-shaped molecular structure. tRNAs have two regions of fundamental functional importance: the anti-codon, which is responsible for specific mRNA codon recognition, and the 3' end, to which the tRNAs corresponding amino acid is attached (by aminoacyl-tRNA synthetases). tRNAs cope with the degeneracy of the genetic code in two manners: having more than one tRNA (with a specific anti-codon) for a particular amino acid; and 'wobble' base-pairing, i.e. permitting non-standard base-pairing at the 3rd anti-codon position. The record is from Rfam by way of RNAcentral. Lineage: Eukaryota; Metazoa; Chordata; Mammalia; Rodentia; Heteromyidae.